GUGGGGAAUUUUGGACAAUGGGCGCAAGCCUGAUCCAGCAAUGCCGCGUGCAGGAAGAAGGCCUUCGGGUUGUAAACUGCUUUUGUACGGAACGAAACGGUCCGGGUUAAUACCCUGGGCUAAUGACGGUACCGUAAGAAUAAGCACCGGCUAACUACGUGCCAGCAGCCGCGGUAAUACGUAGGGUGCAAGCGUUAAUCGGAAUUACUGGGCGUAAAGCGUGCGCAGGCGGUUUUGUAAGACAGGCGUGAAAUCCCCGGGCUCAACCUGGGAAUUGCGCUUGUGACUGCAAGGCUGGAGUGCGGCAGAGGGGGAUGGAAUUCCGCGUGUAGCAGUGAAAUGCGUAGAUAUGCGGAGGAACACCGAUGGCGAAGGCAAUCCCCUGGGCCUGCACUGACGCCCAUGCACGAAAGCGUGGGGAGCAAACAGGAUUAGAUACCCCGGUAGUCC
This 450-nucleotide ribosomal RNA is filed under the name uncultured bacterium. Its description in RNAcentral is "partial 16S ribosomal RNA". It matches the Rfam family "Bacterial small subunit ribosomal RNA", at positions 354 to 796 of the family's 1533-position model. The record is from RNAcentral.